UACGUAGGGUACAAGCAUUAAUCGGAAUUAUUGGGCGUAAAGGGCGCGUAGGCGGAAGGGUAAGUCAGAUGUGAAAUACCAAAGCUCAACUUUGGUGCUGCAUUUGAAACUGCUUUUCUAGAGGACUGACGGAGAAAGCGGAAUUCCACGUGUAGCGGUGAAAUGCGUAGAUACGUGGAGGAACACCGGUGGCGAAAGCGGCUUUCUAGUUUUUUCCUGACGCUGAGGCGCGAGAGCAAGGGGAGCAAACAGG
RNAcentral lists this ribosomal RNA (253 nucleotides) under uncultured bacterium. RNAcentral describes it as "partial 16S ribosomal RNA". It matches the Rfam family "Bacterial small subunit ribosomal RNA", at positions 524 to 776 of the family's 1533-position model. The record is from RNAcentral.